ACACCCGCGGUGGCGGCGGGGGCGGGCCCUCCGCGCACCCUCUCCGGGGAGGGGCGCACCCGUGGAUUGGCUAGCGGGCAGUGAGUGACAGCACGCCGCCACGCCCCCUCCCCACAGACGUCUUUUGCGAGGGCUGAGCAGACCGAUCCUAGAUUGGCCUUCGAGGGUGUCUUCUCGGGAAGAGGCCCUGCAGGUGUGGGCAGGCACCUCAGACCCUCGGACGCGGGCCCGGUGGCCUUCGAGGCCUCUCGCGUGGACCGCUGCCCUCCUCACGCUUCGUCCUCGCCCUACCUGCAUGCUGAUAGUCUCCGAAGCUCUGGUUUUAUCUUAGCCUUGUUUUCUUCUGGACUCAGUGCUGGGCCAGUUGCCUGGUGGCUUCACCUCUGCGCAGACAGGACACCUGUCUGUGACUGCUGAAUAACUUAAAAUCAAUCUUGCAAAAGCCGUUCCUCUGAACAGUACGGGCAAACCUGAGGGCAUCCCUUGAUCCUGCUGUCUGACCAGUGAUGAGCAGUUGGGCAGCUAUCAUGCAACUCUGGAUAGCUUAACUGCAUUUCAGAGGUUCAGAGCCCGACGACUUGAAGUGAGCUACAUAAUAAGUGGGGACCUGAAUCCGUGUGUUUCUGUUCCACAGGAGAGCCCACUGUGUGAGAGCACACAUCCCUACUGUGCCUUCUAGAGGAUCUGUUAGCAGGGCAGGAACACAUAAAGCCUGUUCCAGAAGUGGCCACAGAAAUGUCCACAGGCCGUGCUGUCUGACAAGGGCACAGGGAGCAAGAAGGCCCUGAUCUAGAUUCUUCCGUGGUUGUGGGGAGAGAACGAAGUGAGAGGUUCUGUGUGUUCAUGAAAUACAGCCUCCUCAAAUGAGGAAGGAGGAAGUGUUGCCUGUCUUCACAGGCCAGUGAAGUUCAAGCUUCAAGGAAGCAAGCGUUUCCUGCCGUGGUCCCAGCACCUGAGACCAUUAAGGAAGGUGGUUCUGAAUAGAACGCGUAUGCCAGCAAGCUCAGGUCUAGACCCUUCAGUCCGUGACCCAUUUGGACCUUCCUUUUAGCCAGGAGCUCACCUUUUCAUCUUGAAUUUCAGACUUAGGAUAACAGAAGGAACAUUGGUAGGGAUUAUGGCUACUUUGGGGUACCCAGAGCUCUGGGUUGGCUACAGUUAACAGUUAACUCCUUCGACCAAUCAAUAGUCUUCCUUCCAUCUGAGAGGCUUCUGAGAUCUGGUACUCAGUACAGACUGGAGGCUUCACCACAUAAGAAAGCUAUCCUGUUUCUGUUCAGUACAUGUGGAAAGCUCUCCACAAUUGUUUCCCAAAUAAACAGGCCGUCUUGUGCAAGCGCUACUGCCCACACUGGGCUUAGGCAGCUCUCGGAGGAUAACUGUACAUUUCCUGGCUUUCUGGGCCUAUCUUUAGGGAUGGAGCCUCUGCUACUCUUGAUUCCACAUCAGGACAGACGUACUUCCAGGUCAAGCCCCAUACCAUCUUCCCACUGGGAGGGACCAACCCUUGCUGACCUGAAUGAACAGACCGUGCACUGCACUAAAUCUCAGCCCCCGGCCUUUACUGUGGCCUGGGGCCUCAUUCACAAAGAGGCAGACGCUAUGUUUCCGUUAAGUUGUAGGAGUUUAUUUUAAAUAACCUACAGUUGAUUAAAAGGGAAUUCAUGAUAAAAAUAGAAGAUACUUGAGGAAAGAUGUGGGAAUGGACUCUGCACACACACUAAACUAACAAUGCCUCUAAAACUAAUGAUUAUAGCAAAAAAAAAGUCUUCACAUUAAAAUUUUCCUUUUUAUGGUUUUUUCCAUUUUUUACACAAUUACAAAAGAAAAAAAAAUAAAAGCCCUAAAAUCUUGAUUAUUUUUUCCUUUUUGUUUUGUUUUUGUUUUUGUUUUCCUUGGACCAAAUGCUCAUUUUCCUCUAAAUUUAUUGACCUGUGGAAGUUUUUAUACAAUAAAAUCUUUCAAAUGAAAGACUGGGGUUUCCAAAGAAAAAGAUGGAUUUCUUAAAGGGUACAAAGAAUGGUCAGAACA
This 2031-nucleotide small RNA is filed under the name Rattus norvegicus (Norway rat). Its description in RNAcentral is "uncharacterized LOC102551164". The record is from RNAcentral. Lineage: Eukaryota; Metazoa; Chordata; Mammalia; Rodentia; Muridae.